GUAAAUCUCACUUUGUGUUUUUAUACAUUAAACAACACACACGUAUCGGCACAUAGGCCGGGGUGCCCUUCAGCGCAGGUUGCGGGGUCGGUUUUAUGGGAUACGUGGAGGCAUAACC
Molecule: small RNA, 118 nt
Filed under: Enterobacillus tribolii
Lineage: Bacteria; Pseudomonadati; Pseudomonadota; Gammaproteobacteria; Enterobacterales; Hafniaceae
Description: t44 RNA
Rfam family: t44 RNA (bases 18-117)
About the family: This family consists of a number of bacterial RNA genes of between 135 and 170 bases in length. The t44 gene is found between the map and rpsB genes in all species in the full alignment apart from Shigella flexneri.
Source: RNAcentral